UUUGCUCACACUCUAGCCUAUUCAGAGGCGAAUCCUAACGACGUCAGCAAGCUGUCGUCACCAGGAUACCAAUGAGAAGCCAGGUGGAACAGCCCUAAAGGUAUUCGUUGCAAUCCUCAAUCCCGAACACCACAUUCCGCUCAAGGUUAUAACACUCCCGAAGGAGCCACAUCCCUCCAGCCUUUUUAUGACGUUCGAAAUUGAUGUUAACCAGCGGACACGAAAGUGCUCCCUCUCGUCGGAGGUCACACGCUGUGGCGGUUUUGAGGCUCGCCACAGCAUGUGAUCUGACGACGAGAGGGUUGAUUUCGUCAAGAGUUCACGCUUCGUGACGGUUUUGAGGCUCGUCGCGCCAUGUAAUCUCAAGACGAGAGGGUUGAUUUCGCGCCAGCACGACUG
Molecule: ribosomal RNA, 399 nt
Filed under: Entrophospora sp.
Lineage: Eukaryota; Fungi; Glomeromycota; Glomeromycetes; Entrophosporales; Entrophosporaceae
Description: partial large subunit ribosomal RNA
Source: RNAcentral